This 497-nucleotide ribosomal RNA is filed under the name uncultured bacterium. RNAcentral describes it as "partial 16S ribosomal RNA". It matches the Rfam family "Bacterial small subunit ribosomal RNA", at positions 28 to 507 of the family's 1533-position model. The record is from RNAcentral.
GAUGAACGCUGGCGGCGUGCCUAAUACAUGCAAGUCGAGCGAACAGACGAGGAGCUUGCUCCUCUGACGUUAGCGGCGGACGGGUGAGUAACACGUGGAUAACCUACCUAUAAGACUGGGAUAACUUCGGGAAACCGGAGCUAAUACCGGAUAAUAUAUUGAACCGCAUGGUUCAAUAGUGAAAGACGGUUUUGCUGUCACUUAUAGAUGGAUCCGCGCCGCAUUGGCUAGUUGGUAAGGUAACGGCUUACCAAGGCAACCAUGCGUAGCCGACCGGAGAGGGUGAUCGGCCACAUGGGAAGGGGGACACGGUCAAGACUCCUACGGGAGGCAGCAGUAGGGAAUCUUCGGCAAAGGGCGAAAGCCUGACGGAGCAACGCCGCGUGAGUGAUGAAGGUCUUCGGAUCGUAAAACUCUGUUAUUAGGGAAGAACAAAUGUGUAAGUAACUAUGCACGUCUUGACGGUACCUAAUCAGAAAGCCACGGCUAACUACGUG